RNAcentral lists this ribosomal RNA (526 nucleotides) under Melanelixia glabroides. RNAcentral's name for it is "eukaryotic LSU rRNA". It matches the Rfam family "Eukaryotic large subunit ribosomal RNA", at positions 112 to 650 of the family's 3401-position model. The record is from RNAcentral. Lineage: Eukaryota; Fungi; Ascomycota; Lecanoromycetes; Lecanorales; Parmeliaceae.
AAUUUGAAAUCUGGCCCCUUCGGGGUCCGAGUUGUAAUUUGUAGAGAGUGCUUCGGGGGAGACCGCGGUCUAAGUCCAUUGGAACAUGGCGUCCCAGAGGGUGAGAAUCCCGUAUGUGACCGUGGCUCGAACCCAUGUGAAGCCUCUUCGACGAGUCGAGUUGUUUGGGAAUGCAGCUCAAAAUGGGUGGUAAAUUUCAUCUAAAGCUAAAUACGGGCUGGAGACCGAUAGCGCACAAGUAGAGUGAUCGAAAGAUGAAAAGCACUUUGGAAAGAGAGUCAAAAAGUACGUGAAAUUGUUGAAAGGGAAGCGCUGGCAACCAGACCUGCCCGUAGGCGAUCAGCCGCUGUUCUCAGCGGUGCACUCGCUCUGCGAUCAGGCCAGCAUCGGUUCCGGCGGUCGGAUAAAGGCCUUGGGAACGUACCUUCCCUUCGGGGGAGUCUUAUAGCCCUCGGUGCAAUGCGGCCAGCCGGGACCGAGGACCGCGCUUCGGCUAGGAUGCUGGCGUAAUGGUUGUCAGCGACCC